Molecule: ribosomal RNA, 433 nt
Filed under: Vannella simplex
Lineage: Eukaryota; Discosea; Flabellinia; Vannellidae
Description: SSU rRNA
Rfam family: Eukaryotic small subunit ribosomal RNA
Source: RNAcentral
ACCAGGUCCAGACAUUAGAAGGAUUGACAGAUUGAUAGCUCUUUCAUGAUUUGAUGGGUGGUGGUGCAUGGCCGUUCUUAGUUGGUGGAGUGAUUUGUCUGGUUAAUUCCGAUAACGAACGAGACCUUUACCAUACUAACUAGUUAUAUAUAUACUUUUGWAUAUAUAGAUGAACUUCUUAGAGGGACUAUUGGUUUACAAACCAAAGGAAGUAAAGGCGAUAACAGGUCUGUGAUGCCCUUAGAUGUUCUGGGCUGCACGCGCGCUACAAUGAUAAGAUCAUCAAGUAAUUUUACGAUAUGCUUWACUGGAAGGUAUGGCUAAUCUUAAAGUCUUAUCGUGCUUGGGAUAGAUGAUUGCAAUUAUUCAUCUCAAACCAGGAAUUCCUAGUAAUCGUAGCUCAUCAGGCUGCGAUGAUUACGUCCCUGCCCCU